UUUUAUGGAGAGUUUGAUCCUGGCUCAGGAUGAACGCUGGCGGCGUGCCUAAUACAUGCAAGUCGAGCGAACGGAUGAGAAGCUUGCUUCUCUGAUGUUAGCGGCGGACGGGUGAGUAACACGUGGAUAACCUACCUAUAAGACUGGGAUAACUUCGGGAAACCGGAGCUAAUACCGGAUAAUAUUUUGAACCGCAUGGUUCAAAAGUGAAAGACGGUCUUGCUGUCACUUAUAGAUGGAUCCGCGCUGCAUUAGCUAGUUGGUAAGGUAACGGCUUACCAAGGCAACGAUGCAUAGCCGACCUGAGAGGGUGAUCGGCCACACUGGAACUGAGACACGGUCCAGACUCCUACGGGAGGCAGC
RNAcentral lists this ribosomal RNA (363 nucleotides) under Staphylococcus aureus. RNAcentral describes it as "bacterial SSU rRNA". It matches the Rfam family "Bacterial small subunit ribosomal RNA", at positions 1 to 352 of the family's 1533-position model. The record is from RNAcentral. Lineage: Bacteria; Bacillati; Bacillota; Bacilli; Caryophanales; Staphylococcaceae.